Molecule: non-coding RNA, 69 nt
Organism: Podarcis lilfordi (Lilford's wall lizard)
Lineage: Eukaryota; Metazoa; Chordata; Lepidosauria; Squamata; Lacertidae
Source: the annotation of a GenBank genome assembly
GGAUGGCCUGGUUGGUAGAGCAUGAGACUUUCAAUCUCAGGGUCAUGAGUUUGAGCCCCACGUUGGACA